UCUCUCUUUUCUCUAGUUCUAACAUAGUUUCUCUCUAGCUUUUCAUAGCUAGUUCAUAGUUCUUUGAUUUUGUGUAAGAGAGAGGUGUGUAGCCACUUGGGUUUCACCAAAACCGAAGUUUCUACACACUUUGAUCAAUCACUUCUCUUGUUUCUCACACAUUCAAGCCUUGUUCUUACUUUGUUCUUGAGAUUUUGUGGAUUUGUAUAGUGAUUUGGGUUCUAGAAACCGAAAUCCCUAUACUUUGAAGCAUUUCUCUUCUCAUAUAGCAUCUAGGAGACAAGGGAGCCAUCUUGUGCUUUUGGUUUGGCUCCAAAAAGAGUCAAACCCGUGGGUAUAUCACUUGUUCUCCACUCUUUGCUCUCUUUUAUUUGUUAUUUAUGAUGUUCAUGGCUUGUAGUUGUGUAAAUAUGAGUUGUGAGUAGUUUAAUUUGGGGCUAGGGCAUAGCCUUAGCCAAACUUGUGCACAAAACAAUGUAAUCUUUAUGCUCUUUGAUGUUUAUGCAUGUUUUGAAUCUUUUGGCUACUAUACUUUAAUGUGUCCUAAGUGUGUUCAUAGAUUUAUCACCUAGAAGCAUGCUUUAGGAAGUUAAUGAAUCGGAAACAUGAACUUGAUAAACUCUUGAUUCCGUGAGCUUAUGUAGCUAAAUAGGUGGUGGCUUAGCUUAUUCCUAUGGGAAGAACUAAGUUCCGGAAGAAUUUAGGCUCAUGGCACCAUAGGCCAUUUAUAAUCCGGAAGAUUUGAAUGGUAUAAAGGUUGUGUAAUUUAGCUUUGCUUUGGAAGAGAUUGUUAAAUUGCAUGACUAGUUGGUUUCUUGGUAGCUUCAUCAAAGCACUAAGGGGG
This 844-nucleotide long non-coding RNA is filed under the name Rosa chinensis. Its description in RNAcentral is "sRNA RchiOBHm_Chr2g0128521". Lineage: Eukaryota; Viridiplantae; Streptophyta; Magnoliopsida; Rosales; Rosaceae. The record is from RNAcentral.